AUUGAACGCUGGCGGCAGGCCUAACACAUGCAAGUCGAGCGAGCGGCGGACGGGUGAGUAAUGUAUGGGGAUCUGCCCGAUAGAGGGGGAUAACUACUGGAAACGGUGGCUAAUACCGCAUACUAGCGGAUGACCCCAUAUGGGAUUAGCUAGGAGGUGGGGUAAAGGCUCACAUAGGCGACGAUCGCUAGCUGGUCUGAGAGGAUGAUCAGCCACACUGGGACGGAGACACGGCCCAGACUCCUACGGGAGGCAGCAGUGGGGAAUAGUGCACAAUGGGCGCAAGCCUGAUGCAGCCAUGCCGCGUGUAUGAAGAAGGCCUUAGGGUUGUAAAGUACUUUCAGCGGGGAGGCGUUACCGGCAGAAGAAGCACCGGCUAACUCCGUGCCAGCAGCCGCGGUAAUUC
Molecule: ribosomal RNA, 406 nt
Filed under: uncultured bacterium
Lineage: Bacteria
Description: partial 16S ribosomal RNA
Rfam family: Bacterial small subunit ribosomal RNA
Source: RNAcentral